This 72-nucleotide transfer RNA is filed under the name Bacteroidota bacterium. RNAcentral describes it as "tRNA-Thr". It matches the Rfam family "tRNA". From Rfam's summary of the family: Transfer RNA (tRNA) molecules are approximately 80 nucleotides in length. Their secondary structure includes four short double-helical elements and three loops (D, anti-codon, and T loops). The record is from RNAcentral. Lineage: Bacteria; Pseudomonadati; Bacteroidota. RNAcentral also lists the same sequence under 1 other name.
GCCGAGGUAGCUCAGGGGUAGAGCGCUUCCUUGGUAAGGAAGAGGUCGGGGGUUCAAUUCCCCUCCUUGGCU